UCUCCGCUUCACCAAUUUUUAUCUCUCUUCCCCUCUCUGGUUCUUCUCUUCCUUUCUUGUUCUCUUGGCAAGACUGUGAAACCACAACACUCUCUGCACACACCUCACUGCCCCCCCCCCCCCCCCCCCCCCCCCACCCCCACGCGUCGCUGGUGAUGUUCCCUCACACGUAGAAAGGGGCCUCAACUUUUUUUCAUUUUCCCGCUCUUCAUCUCCUUCCCUCACAUUCUGUCUUUGCGGCGCCGCGAAAUGAAGAAACACACUCCUCUAUUUCUGUCCUGCUGUUGCCGUCGUUACUGCCUCCUCACGACCUGGUAAUCUCCUUAAGCCACUUCGUUAAUGAAAUUAAAAUCCCCAAUUGGGCAAACCCUAACAAUUUCAAUUGAUUUUCUCCCUCCUCUUGUUGUGGUGCGAUGACCACUCCACCGCCGACAUCGUUUUUGAAGUGGUGGUGCCCUCCUCUCCUCGUACUUAUAUCUUUGCUCCCCUGAGCCACGGAAUCCCUGCCGCACUAUCCUCGGCCACCGUCGCAGGCUUGUUGCUUACUUUCUUAAAAAUCGAUCAUCACUGCAUAAAGGAUCCUACGAGUACAUAGUGCGAAAUGGAGAGUUCGAGUAACAUAGCUCAUAACUCUUCAAAGGACUUGGUUUAAGAUGAUUUAACGUAUUUAGUGGCCUUCCUCCUCUUGUCAGGGGUACGGUAUGACAGAAACAUGCGGAGUCAUCUCUAUAGAACCCCCAAGACUGGGUGGUCGACAUUCUGGCUCAACUGGAAUGUUGGUUGCUGGUAUUGAAACUUAGAUAAUUAAAGUAGAUACAUCAAAGCCUCUCCCUCCUAAGCAACUGGGUGAAAUAUGGGUCCGUGGACCUAAUAUGACGAAAGGAGAUCUUGGGUACUUCGAUGAUGAAGGGCAACUUUAUGUGGUUGACAGGCUGAAAGAGCUCAUCAAAUACAAGGGUUUUCAGGUAUUCAAUAAUCCGAGGGAGCGGCCUUUCACCUUUGAGGAGAUAGAUGAAGUUCGAGAAAUGUUGGCAAAUUUCAUUACCAGUGAUUGUCUUUGAUAUUUUAUUGUAUAGAAUCUUAAAUUAUGGAUGCUAGCUAGUUUUUCAUAUGAUUGUAAUGUAAUCGACUUUUAUAUUUACAAUUAUAUACUAUUUAAUUUAAUUAUCUAUAUAAUUGGAUACUUUUUAAUA
Molecule: long non-coding RNA, 1193 nt
Organism: Spinacia oleracea (spinach)
Lineage: Eukaryota; Viridiplantae; Streptophyta; Magnoliopsida; Caryophyllales; Amaranthaceae
Exons: 7
Source: RefSeq, a predicted model, not a curated record